UACGGAGGGUGCAAGCGUUAUCCGGAUUCACUGGGUUUAAAGGGUGCGUAGGCGGACUUACAAGUCAGUGGUGAAAUCUCCCCGCUCAACGGGGAAACUGCCAUUGAAACUAUUUGUCUUGAGUACAUUUGAGGCGGGCGGAAUGUGUCAUGUAGAGGUGAAAUUCUUAGAUAUGACACAGAACACCAAUUGCGUAGGCAGCUCACUAAACUGUAACUGACGCUGAGGCACGAAAGCGUGGGGAGCAAACAGG
Molecule: ribosomal RNA, 253 nt
Filed under: uncultured bacterium
Lineage: Bacteria
Description: partial 16S ribosomal RNA
Rfam family: Bacterial small subunit ribosomal RNA
Source: RNAcentral